RNAcentral lists this long non-coding RNA (568 nucleotides) under Lathyrus oleraceus (garden pea). Its description in RNAcentral is "Pisum sativum (pea) long non-coding RNA (PSAT_LNC021416)". The record is from RNAcentral. Lineage: Eukaryota; Viridiplantae; Streptophyta; Magnoliopsida; Fabales; Fabaceae.
UGCUGUCGAUUUUAGACCACAGUAUUCAACCCAUCAAUUUUUUCUAGCUUAAGAAUAGUAAGAGAACCUUUUCUAGAGUUAGGAUCCUCCACCAAUUCGUAAAGCCCUAUGAAUUUACAGUCAAGGACAUCUUGCUCCUCACCUUCCCUCAGCUCAAUUGCUGUCCUUCUUCUUCAUUCAUUGUUUCAAUCUUCUCCCAGUAUCACCAAGUGUAGUUUCUUCUCGCUGCAUUAAUGUGAUGUAGGAUACCCCUCACUACACCGGAAACAUGACCUAAUACCCCUCACUACACCGAAAACAUGACCUAAUACCCCUCACUACACCGGAAACAUGACCCACGAGCGCCACAAUCCAUCAGUUCAGAUAAAAGUAGAUGUUUGAGACCUUGAUUGGACUCACUAUUUCCCUUUUGUUUGCCCUUGUCUUUAAGACGUGUCCAUUCGAACAUAACUAUCACGGUUUGGGCUUGGGUCAUAAUUUGACCUGUUACCAGCCUUUUCACUCAACCCUGAACUAGACCGAAUUAACCCAUUCCUUUCCCUAUUUCGAGCUCCUUUUUUCCCACCUC